This 355-nucleotide ribosomal RNA is filed under the name uncultured bacterium. Its description in RNAcentral is "partial 16S ribosomal RNA". It matches the Rfam family "Bacterial small subunit ribosomal RNA", at positions 338 to 690 of the family's 1533-position model. The record is from RNAcentral.
CCUACGGGCGGCAGCAGUGAGGAAUAUUGGUCAAUGGGCGCGAGCCUGAACCAGCCAAGUAGCGUGAAGGAUGACUGCCCUACGGGUUGUAAACGUCUUUUAUAAAGGAAUAAAGUGAGGCACGUGUGCCUUUUUGUAUGUACUUUAUGAAUGAGGAUCGUCUAACUCCGUGCGAGCAGCCGCGGUAAUACGGAGGAUCCGAGCGUUAGCCGGAUUUAGUGGGUUUAAAGGGAGCGUAGAUGGGUUGUUAAGUCAGUUGUUACAGUUUGCGGCUCAACCGUAAAAUUGCAUUUGAUACUGGCAGUCUUGCGUACAGUUGAGGUAGGCGGACUUCGUGGUGUGGCGGUGAACUGCU